Molecule: non-coding RNA, 70 nt
Organism: Dipodomys ordii (Ord's kangaroo rat)
Lineage: Eukaryota; Metazoa; Chordata; Mammalia; Rodentia; Heteromyidae
Source: Rfam
GGGAAGGUUGCUCAGCGGUAGAGCACUUGCCUUGCAUGCAUGAGGCCCUGGGUUCGAUUCCUCCGCACCA